UAUAUCUAAAAAUCAUAUUUUCCUGUGGGCAAUAUUCUAAGGACUUAUUUUCAAAUGUCAAGAAACAUCUGGUUAAAAUAGAUUAAAUACAGAUCAGCAGCAAUAAAGACCACACAGAAUUUAGCAAGUCAGUUGGCAGAGUCAUAGUCUCAAGUAGUUGGACUGCUCAUAAAUUGCUUAAGUAUAUAAAACCUAGCUUAAAAGCUUGAAGCAAACUUUAAAGUUACCUCAAGAAUUAAUAUACAAUGACAGGGAGAAAACAGGGAAUAAUUAAUUAGGGCCCUGUUACUAUGGGUUAAUCUCUUAGAUCAAGAGUAGAUUUUGCAUACUCUGCUGUGAGAGUUUUCCUUUCAUUUGCUGGAAUUCGUUUGAGUAUUUCAGCCUGCAGACAAAGAGUAGCAAACAAGAUUUUUCAAAGAUUACAGGAAAAUAAAGUAAUUUAAGAGUCAAUGAGACUUCAUGCAGCAGAUACUAAUAAUUAAGAAGCUUUUUCUACUGGAAUGAUCUACCACUAAUUUAACUAAACUUCAUAUUACUUGAAAGUAUUCACUUUCUUAAUCACAGAUGCACAAAACAGCUUUCUUUUUUAAUACUCAUUAAAAUACAUCUGGGGUAUUCAGCAAAAACUAGUUUUGGGUAGAAGACCAUACAGGCUACAGUUGGUGUCCCUUAGAGAGCAGUGAGACCCAUGCUGAAGUAGAGCAGCAAGCUGUGAUUCAGAACACACCGAAGUGCAAUUCUUUGUUCCCUGGCUGCUCCUCACACACUGCACUCGCUGUCACAGCAGCCCAAGCACAGCAGCUACAGAGGUAGCUCCCUCUGCAGAGGGCAGCUACAACCCAGGCACGCACACAAACAGGACAGCAAACUGAAGCAGGAAUACAAUCCAAAUGAAUUCUGGGCAGGAUUACCUGGCUAUCAAACAAUCCCAACUAGGAUGCCAGCUCGGUUCCUAUGACGAACAAUAAAUAACAACUCUCUGCUCUUAGGACUUUACUUUCACAUAUUUGGGAAUCAUCAACUGUGACAUAUUUACUGAAAUAAAUGCAACAAAAGCCCCAAGAUAACAAAACAGUAUUUUGUCCCUUUUAAUAUCCCAAAUUUAUAUUAUUGUACUUAUUUCUGAUGCAAUUAUUUUAGUGUGCAUGCCAUUAACUCAACGACAGAGCAGCAAGCAUCAAAGUUUUCCCCCUUCCUGCCUUCUAGACAAGUCAGCCCUCCAAAGUCUCUUAGAUUUCUCUUGCCACGUUUAAGAUUGUUGUCAACUAAAUCCUAGGGACAGGAGAUAACAGAAUACAUCCUCCAACAUCAAUCACCUAGAGAAAGGCUCUCGAACAGAUCAAUCACAAAUUCACGAGGAAGAUAUUUGUGUAGCACUGUAUAGAUUAACCUAGUUCUAUUUUUAGGUUACUCCAGCCACUCCUAGCUGCGACAACAAAGCGCCUUCUCUGCAAUCACGUUUCUAACCCCUCAAAAAAUAAAAAAAAAUAAAUUAAAUGAAGACGACUUUUGAAACACACUGUUCCCAGUCUUCUGCCCCAAAAGCCUGCAGAGCAAGCCAGAAUCUUGGCAGCUCGUGCCCGCACAGAGCCACGCUGCAGCCAGCCCAACAGCGGUCGGGUGGCAGGGGCCGCAGCUAUGCUGGCUGCCUCUCCCAUCGGCUCCCCAGGCAACUGGAAACACCGCCUGAUCCACAGCGUGGGAAGAUCUGAGACGCGAGAUUAGCGUUGAAGGAACUACAACCAGAUAACAGCGUCUGCCCCGGCUACUGCCGUGCUAAAACACGCGCUCUGCUCUGCACAGCGCGUGGAUCUGGAGGUAUCAUCUCUUGGAGGACAAUGGGUGACGGUGACGUGUCAAGUAAAAGAUAUCACUGGCCAUGCAGAAGAAAGAUAAAUGUCCUUCCAGCUGUCAAACUCGGUGUACUGACCACCAGCCUGGGGAUGCCCUUUGUCCCACUGCACUUGGUCCUUUACAACUGAUGAGUUGCCACAGGAACUUGUGAUUCAAAUGCAUGAAAUGGAGUCUGUAGUUUAGACUUGGCCAAGACCCCAGAUGCUCAGCCACAGAGUUACUGGAGUAUGUAACAUUAGGACAGCAAGCAGCAAACAUGGCACCUGCUGUGCCCAAAAAGACUCCCCGUGGGCUUCUGUACUUCCAAGAUCUCUGUUCUUGCAUCUUACCUUUGCACAGAAACAUCUAUUUCUCCAUGCUGAUGCCUUGGCAAGGGCUGUGGGCUGUACAGCACUGAAGAGGAUUAGGCAUUUACAUGCAUAGUGAAAACAUAUCAGAGCAUUAAAAAAAUGUAUAUGAUAAAUAAAAACCUUUGUACUUAAAGGUAUACAUGA
Molecule: non-coding RNA, 2348 nt
Organism: Cyanistes caeruleus (blue tit)
Lineage: Eukaryota; Metazoa; Chordata; Aves; Passeriformes; Paridae
Source: RefSeq, a predicted model, not a curated record